AUGAUGAAGCGUGCCCUUCUGCCUGUCCUCAGAGAUGGAGAGAAAUACUGGGGUGCCACGAAGUCCACGUCCUCACACAGGGGCCCUGGAUCAUGGCCAGAUAUGAAGAGGAAAUCAAUCUCAUUUUUGGUUAAGAAACAUGCUACCUCUCCGAGUCCAGAAACUGAACUGUUUGGAGAAGACACGAUGAAGAUGCCUCCACAGACCAUAAGCUGUGCAUGAGAAGAUCAAGAAUAAACUUUGGGAAGGGUUAGUUCCUGUGAAGAGAAGUUCUGAUGAGAAUAAGAGGGAAGAAAGAUUUCCAAGCUCCAAGGAUGAAUUCAUUUUUAAUGUGAAAUGUCAGCAAGUGAGAAAGAUAUAGGAUGUGCCUAAAAGAAGGAAGAGACAGAGAGACCAUCCUCAAUAGAAUGGGGCUGUAUAGAACACAAAGGAAUAAAGAAGCGAAAGAAAAGAAAGAAAAGAAAAAA
This 467-nucleotide long non-coding RNA is filed under the name Monodelphis domestica (gray short-tailed opossum). RNAcentral describes it as "lncRNA (ENSMODG00000049554.1)". Lineage: Eukaryota; Metazoa; Chordata; Mammalia; Didelphimorphia; Didelphidae. The record is from RNAcentral.